GCAAUCCCUCUAAAUUAAUAGAAAGAAAAUAGUGCCGCACUGUAAAAUUACCACGGGCCUCACAUCUUAAAAGAAGACGGUCCAUUGAUAAAAUUAUCAUCUCUUUCCUAUAUAUAAGCAUCUUCUAUGUAUCACGUACCAUUCGGAACUAGGGUUUUUCCAAGCCGCUGCAGUCUCCAUUCUCCUCAUUCCCAUUAUUUUCC
RNAcentral lists this long non-coding RNA (203 nucleotides) under Lathyrus oleraceus (garden pea). RNAcentral describes it as "Pisum sativum (pea) long non-coding RNA (PSAT_LNC013743)". Lineage: Eukaryota; Viridiplantae; Streptophyta; Magnoliopsida; Fabales; Fabaceae. The record is from RNAcentral.